UCUAUAGCUCAGUUGGUAGAGCAACGGAUUCGUAACCCGUAGGUCGGCAGUUCGAUUCAG
RNAcentral lists this transfer RNA (60 nucleotides) under pig gut metagenome. It matches the Rfam family "tRNA", at positions 6 to 61 of the family's 71-position model. From Rfam's summary of the family: Transfer RNA (tRNA) molecules are approximately 80 nucleotides in length. Their secondary structure includes four short double-helical elements and three loops (D, anti-codon, and T loops). The record is from RNAcentral.